Molecule: ribosomal RNA, 460 nt
Filed under: uncultured bacterium
Lineage: Bacteria
Description: partial 16S ribosomal RNA
Rfam family: Bacterial small subunit ribosomal RNA
Source: RNAcentral
CCUACGGGAGGCUGCAGUGAGGAAUAUUGGUCAAUGGACGAGAGUCUGAACCAGCCAAGUAGCGUGAAGGAUGACUGCCCUAUGGGUUGUAAACUUCUUUUAUAUGGGAAUAAAAUGUUCCACGUGUGGGAUUUUGUAUGUACCAUAUGAAUAAGGAUCGGCUAACUCCGUGCCAGCAGCCGCGGUAAUACGGAGGAUCCGAGCGUUAUCCGGAUUUAUUGGGUUUAAAGGGAGCGUAGGUGGAUUGUUAAGUCAGUUGUGAAAGUUUGCGGCUCAACCGUAAAAUUGCAGUUGAAACUGGCAGUCUUGAGUACAGUAGAGGUGGGCGGAAUUCGUGUUGUAGCGGUGAAAUGCUUAGAUAUCACGAAGAACUCCGAUUGCGAAGGCAGUUCACUGGACUGCAACUGACACUGAGGCUCGAAAGUGUGGGUAUCAAACAGGAUUAGAUACCCGAGUAGUC